RNAcentral lists this long non-coding RNA (1983 nucleotides) under Sus scrofa (pig). RNAcentral's name for it is "lncRNA (ENSSSCG00030058778.1)". Lineage: Eukaryota; Metazoa; Chordata; Mammalia; Artiodactyla; Suidae. The record is from RNAcentral.
ACCCAUGGCAUAUGUAGGUUCCCAGGCUAGCGGUUGAAUUGAAGCUACAGCUCCUGGUCUACACCACAGCCACAGCAACGCAGGAACUGAGCUGCAUCUGUGACAGCUCAUGGCAACGCUGGAUCCUUAACCCACCGAGUGAGGCCAGGGAUUGAACCUGCAACCUCUUGGAACCAUGAGGUCGCGGGUUCGAUCCCUGCCCUUGCUCAGUGGGUUAACGAUCCGGCGUUGCCAUGAGCUGUGGUGUAGGUUGCAGACUCGGCUCGGAUCCCGCGUUGCUGUGACUGUGGCAUAGCUGGUAACUAUAGCUCCAAUUGGACCCCUAGCCUGGGAACCUCCAUAUGCCGUAGGAGAGGCCCAAAGAAAUAGCAAAAAAGACAAAAAAAAAAAAAAAAAAAGCUGUGUCUUAAGCAUUUGUAGAUAGCUAGUUGACAGUAACAGAGACCAGAAAAUGGGCGCUGAAAAAUUAUUCUAUAUGAUUAAAACACUGUUCUCUCCAAAGACCUGGGGUUUUAAAAAGACUUCACGAGGUCCAAAGCUAGCGGACAAUGAGAUGUAAUGGAGCCUGAAAGGCUCAAAAUGAGAGAGAUGAGCUAUUGAAAAUAUUAAUGAAUUCAAAGCUUUGAUAAAGUUUGAAGCUAAGAUGAACUUUUAAUUGAACUCACCUUUGGUGAGUGAGACCCUUAGGCCACAAUAAGCCAUACGUUUCAUGAAGAUUUAUCCUUAAUGGAAGCUUUCAAACUCUCAAUGCAGACAAUUUUUUAAAUUUAAUGGUUUCAAAUUGUAUUCUUUUCAUUACAUGGUAAUUAUACAUGACCAAGUUUCAUUUCGAGCCACUUAUGCCUCAUCUUCCUAAAUGUCAUGCAGAAUAUAUUAGUGCAUCAAAUUAGGACGGCCAGCUUUUGAACUAUAGUGACCUCACCUCUGGUUUUUCUCGUGAUGUGGUUGAGUAUGGAGCAAUUAACUCCAGCCAGAUAAAGUAGGUCGAAAAGAUCAAGAAAGAACCUGCAAGCAGAAGGUGUGGAAACCAGAGAGAAUGUUGCCAAGAGGUGGGGAUGGGUCCAGGUGAAUGGUUGGCCUCUGGGAACGAUGGUUUAGCAUGGAUGGGGAACUUCAUAUCCCUGUUCACAUAAUAACAGGCCUCUCUCCCAAUACUUUAACUUAAUUUACUCAUGUCACACCAACAUCCUGACUAUCCAGAGCAGGAAAGGAAUGUAUUGGCAAAAAGUGUAAUUGCAGGGAGUUCCCUGGUGGCUCAGUAGGUUAAAGGCUCUGGGAUUGUCACUGCUGUGGCUUGGGUCACUGCUGUGGCACAGGUUCUAUCCCUGGCCUGGGAACUUCUACAUGCCAUGAGUGUGGCAAAAAAAAUGUAAUUGGACAUAAAACAGGAUAGAGUAUGAUCUCAGCUAUGCAGCUGUGUUCUAGUGUUUUAUUAUUCUGCUACAAUGUAAACAUUCCUUUUUUGCUUUUCAAGCAGGAUAAAAAGGAAAAUUAGACUUAGGUAGUCUCUUUUGCCCAGGAGAUCCUGCUGGAAGUGGCAAGAAUCCUCACCAGUGAUUUAGCUCAGGAAUGGGACAGGAAUGGGAAUAGGAGAUGGCACUAUACAGAGACCCAGGCAGGACUGGUAGGUUCUAGGAGAGCUGAGGUCCAAGCAAAGAGGGCCUGGUGACUCAGGGACUCUGGGCUAUAGGAUCAGUAGACAGACUGCCUUGUUGCUGAAGCCGCUCAAUGCUCCUGGAGCCCCCUAAUUUAUGCUUGUCUAGGCGUCUGGGGCAGAUGGGAGGCAGAGAGCCACAGGGAGGAAAGGAGGGUAGCAGAGAGCACAGAGGUGCUGAUGUGCUCAAGAGGAAUGGCCAACAGGAGUUCCCUUUGUGGCUCAAUUGUUAACAAACCUGACUAGGAGCCAUAAGGUUGUGGGUUCUAUCCCUGGCCUUGCUCAGUAGGUGAAGGAUCUGGUGUUGCCAUGAGCUGUGGUAUAGGUCA